Molecule: ribosomal RNA, 484 nt
Filed under: uncultured bacterium
Lineage: Bacteria
Description: partial 16S ribosomal RNA
Rfam family: Bacterial small subunit ribosomal RNA
Source: RNAcentral
AUUGAACGCUGGCGGCAUGCUUUACACAUGCAAGUCGAACGGCAGCGCGGGCUUCGGCCUGGCGGCGAGUGGCGAACGGGUGAGUAAUACAUCGGAACGUGCCCAGUAGUGGGGGAUAGCUCGGCGAAAGCCGGAUUAAUACCGCAUACGACCUGAGGGUGAAAGCGGGGGAUCUUCGGACCUCGCGCUAUUGGAGCGGCCGAUGGCAGAUUAGCUAGUUGGUGGGGUAAAGGCCUACCAAGGCGACGAUCUGUAGCUGGUCUGAGAGGACGACCAGCCACACUGGAACUGAGACACGGCCCAGAUUCCUGCGGGAGGCAGCAGUGGGGAAUUUUGGACAAUGGGCGAAAGCCUGGUCCAGCAAUGCCGCGUGUGUGAUGAAGGCCUUCGGGUUGUAAAGCACUUUUGGCGGGAACGAAAAGGACUGUGCCAAUACCACGGUUCGAUGACGGUACCCGCAGAAUAAGCACCGGCUAACUACGUG